Long non-coding RNA from Hemicordylus capensis (graceful crag lizard), 2663 nucleotides. RefSeq lists it as uncharacterized. The record is from RefSeq and is a predicted model, not a curated record. NCBI's taxonomy places the organism in Eukaryota, Metazoa, Chordata, Lepidosauria, Squamata, Cordylidae. The transcript is spliced from 3 exons.
GCGGGUCCAGCCCGGCCGCGGGGAGAGGAGAGGCGGCGGCAGGUCUGGCCCGCCCGCCGAAAAGGACAGAGGUGGCGGCGGUCCAGCAGGCGGAACUCUUGGUGGCGGCGGCGGAACUCACCACCCGCCCAGAAGGCCAAAGGCGGCGUCGGCAGGCGGCACCACCGCGGAGGGCCCUCCCACCCAAAACCACCGCAGGAGGCGGGAGGCCCGGCCGGGAGGAGGCGGCGGGGGAGGGCGGAGAAGGCAACUAGCACCCGUUAUUUCAACGGGCUGAAAAAUACUAGUAGCUUUUAAAACUCCUGUUACCUUGCCACAAGCUUGUGCUUCCUUAUAAGCAUGCACCCUAGCUUUUCUCUUCUACAACCCGUUGCCACCUCCUUGCAUUCCCUUACAAGUUCAUACACCACUCCACCGCAGCCAUGGAAACAGAACUGGAAGUACACUUCCCAGACGUCCCCAUGUGCUUUCCCAACGACCCUGUGUGAAUCAUCAGCCCCGUGGCCUCUACUUCCUACAGAAGAGGCCUCCCAGCACCAGGAAUGUAAUGAACUGCACCAGAAAUGGCCACCGUGGAAGCAGCACCGGGGGGUGCUACAGAUUCAUGGGGAUCGUAGCACCCAAUGAACAAUCCUAGUAGCCAACAUUUGUUUUCUAGGGUUUAAGGGUCAGUUAGUAAACAGUUUUUUGUCUUUUCUUUCUUUCUUUCUUUCUUUUUGCUCAGCAACUCUACCAAGCAUGGUCAUCACGUGUAGGCUGAACAUGGAAGGUUUUGUGGGGUUUUUGUACUUUUCCAUUGGUAAAGAGAAGGAGAGUUGCUUGGAAUUUCACCCACACCAGGUGGGGAUUAAACUCUGUUAAAAAGUGGGUGUGGUGGCAGUGAUUGAGCUACUAAAGGAACAGUUUACGUUUAAAGGAACAGCCUUUGUUGGUGAAAGCAAGAGAGAAGAUGAUUCAGCAUUCUUCUUCCCUUCACGUGGGCUUGCUUUGAGACAAAGUCUGAGUUAAAUCCACUACACCUACCAAAUAAUAUAAUCAUGUGAGCUCAAACCACAAGGUAGAACUUCCUGAUGUUGAACACCAAAAACUUCGUAAAACUUUCAACUAAGAAAAAGUCACACACAUACCUCCUGCCUGAAAAAAUACAAUGAAAUGAAAUUAGUGGAUUCAGUAAUAGUGGCAGCAUAUUCCCACCUCAUGAUUAUUCAGCAGUGAAUGACACAAGAAGACGCAGCAUUUUGGACCAUCUUGUGGAUGACUUCAGGGAAGCCUUCAUGACCAACUCUACUUCCUGAGACCACCAUGUACAAUUCUCCAUGCCGUGAGUCUAAGGGUAUGAACAUGCAAGUGCAUCAGAGAGCCCCAAUAGAUGAGUGACACGAUAGGCAAUGAGAUGUCAUCAGUCGUAAAGUAACGGCCUGAAGCUUCGGUGUGCUUCCUAACACCUGCAACGCACGCAGAAUCUGAGCCACACAGACCUGGAAGAAGUCAUUUUUUAUUCAUUUAUAACCCAUUUACAUCUCCACAUUCAUUUAUAAUGCAAAAUGUUCAGAGAGAUUAAUUUUGUGAGAAAAACAAUAGUACCAAAUAGGCCUCUAAGUCAAACAUUUAAGACUAUAUACAGACGGCAACUUUGCCACUUGAUGGCUAUAAAAUUAAGGAUUACACUGGAAACUCAGGUAGGAGGUCUGGAAAAAUAAGAUACAAAGAUGCUAGGGUGGAGGUUGGGCAACAAUCGUGUAUAGUGAUUGGGCUAACAAGUAAUCAGUCAAUCAGCCACUAUAAGGAGGACCUAGUUGGGGCUUGUGGGCCUAUUGAGCACACAACACUAAAUAAACACUGUGUUUGGAAGCGCUGAUGCAGAAUUAUUUUAAGAAACAUUAUGUUUAAUAUAUAUCUACAUCUCCCAUAAACUUUAAUGGGGUGUGGAUUGUAGCUAUAAGGCAUAGUGCUAUUUUCCUGGUGUGUCCCAUGAUGAAAACUGAAAUUGCUAUAUAGAAUGCCACAAAACAAUAUCCUACAAAUUAAAUAACCUGUUUUCCAAUGUUAUAUUUAGUAAUUAAAAUUAGAUAAUCGGAUAUUCAUAUAAAGUGGUUACACUAAACUCUUUGCUGUCCACCUCAUUUUACCCCAGUGUUCUGGUAAAUGGUCCUAUCAUCCAUAAUUUGCCAAAUUAAAAAAGAAGCAAAUACUCCAACCUCUUCAGUUUCCUGAAGUCCCUCCCAUCCAACACACCCCUCCCUCUAGAAUCCCCCUGUCAUUCAGCAACUGAGAGAGGAUAUACACAGUUACAGAUUUGGUCUGAAGCAGACCUUAAUGCUGAAUGUUUAAGUCAUUACACAGAAACACAAGGAGUGUGAUUUUUCAGUACCUAAGCCACUGAUAAAGACCACCAUGGUCGAAAAGCAUUUGGCCUAAGACAUUAAAUUGGACAAGUACCUCCUUGCGCUGUGCCUUAUCACAAGACGACAAGCGACAAGUGGAACAGCUCACUCCAUACUAUAGACACAGAAGCUUCUUAACUCCUGUGCAACUUGGGACUCCCAUUGGAAUACCCUUUUGGGGCUUUUUUAUACAUACUUCAUAUGUUCAUAGACCUCUUUUUUAUAUAUACACUUGACGGGUGUAUAUAAAAACACUUGACGGGUGUUUUUUUUUUACUU